UUUUUAGUGGAGGAGUGAUACUUGCCUUUAAAUCACCUGGAACAUCUAGGGAAAAAAAUUAGCAGCUCUUCAAGCACAGAAGCUUUUCUUCAGGGAAGUUUGGAAGGCUGAUGCGUUGAUGUGGAAUUCCUGGCGCCCUUCCCUGUCCAUGGGGAGCAGGAGGCUUUGCUGGAGCUGCAGAGGGUGGCCGGGCAGGUGCCAUUGUCACCGGGAGAUGGACGGGUCACUCCCGGGAAGCACAGAUGAACGCCGGCGUUAGAACAGGCUGAAAUAGCAGUCCCCUGGAAGAGCUGGAAAAUACACAAAAACUGCUCAACUGAUUUCAGAAGAUAAACAGAAGUGAAAAUUUUGUGAUCAAGCAUCGACUUACAGGACUGGACAAACACAGAUAGGCACACACAACUCCUGGGGGCUCUGUUCCUGGCUCCACACACCUUGCAGGCAGCCACAAGGGAACCACACAGAAGAGGAAGAAGAACCAAGAGUACUGGGGUCAGAGCUGGAGCAAGGCUCCUCAGCAGGGCUGGCAAGACUGAAUUUUGCUGCCUCAGCUGUGAGAGCUUGGGAUGAGGCUGGGUGACCUUGGAACUGUCGGAGUUGAGAAGGUGGGGAG
Zonotrichia leucophrys gambelii is the source of this 613-nucleotide long non-coding RNA. RefSeq lists it as uncharacterized. The record is from RefSeq and is a predicted model, not a curated record. The transcript is spliced from 5 exons. Lineage: Eukaryota; Metazoa; Chordata; Aves; Passeriformes; Passerellidae.